GUUCCUAUAGUUGAGUUACAACGAUGAUUUUUCAUAUCAUAGGUCAUAGUUUAAUACUAUGUGGGAAUG
RNAcentral lists this transfer RNA (69 nucleotides) under Meriones tamariscinus (Tamarisk jird). RNAcentral's name for it is "tRNA-Glu". The record is from RNAcentral. Lineage: Eukaryota; Metazoa; Chordata; Mammalia; Rodentia; Muridae.